GUUAAUGAUUUCGAGUUAAGUAUAUCCAUCAUUUUUACAUGAGAGAAUGGCUUCCUCCCAAAUAUGCUUUUAUUUGUUGACUACCAGUGGUUGUGAAGUGUACUUAACGGAACAUAUGAUCAGGUUUAAGAAACUGAUAUGUUAGUUUCCAUUUUUCUUAACAGCAGAUCUUUUAGAACCUUUAUUUAAGGAGGUUACUUAUACUUCAUUCUUUCAUUUUUCUUUUUAUCAAGUUCUUUUCGAAUGUUGAAAUGGAACAAUAACCAGUUAAAAAGUAGGAGGAGAAAAAGUGCAAGUAUGAAGCGGCAAGGCUUCUAACAUAUUUUGAUAGGCCGAUGUUCUAAAUAGAUGUGAACUGCA
Molecule: long non-coding RNA, 360 nt
Filed under: Elaeis guineensis (African oil palm)
Lineage: Eukaryota; Viridiplantae; Streptophyta; Magnoliopsida; Arecales; Arecaceae
Description: long non-coding RNA (EGUI_LNC036657)
Source: RNAcentral